RNAcentral lists this ribosomal RNA (511 nucleotides) under Leptochiton asellus. Its description in RNAcentral is "partial 16S ribosomal RNA". It matches the Rfam family "Bacterial large subunit ribosomal RNA", at positions 1816 to 2600 of the family's 2925-position model. Lineage: Eukaryota; Metazoa; Mollusca; Polyplacophora; Lepidopleurida; Lepidopleuridae. The record is from RNAcentral.
CGCUCUCUGCUAUUAAAACAUAGAGAGUCGUACCUGCCCAGUGGAAUACUAAACGGCCGCAGUACCCUGACUGUGCAAAGGUAGCAUAAUCACUUGCCUUAUAAUUGAAGGCUAGAAUGAAUGGUUUGACGAAAGCUAAGCUGUCUCUUUUGCAUUAAAUAUAAAUUAUCUUCCAGGUGAAGAGGCCUAGAUACAGCUGAAAGACGAAAAGACCCUGUUGAGCUUAAGAAAAAUAAGAAAACCUAAAUAGAAUAGCAAAUAAAAUUAUUUCUUUUUCUUUUGUUGGGGCGACAAAAGAACAGUUCAAGCUUCUUUUUAUUUAGCUAAUAAAUUCAUUAUAUGAUCCAUAAAUAAUUAUGAGUAAAAGAAAAAGUUACCACAGGGAUAACAGCGUAAUCUUUUUGGAGAGCUCUUAUUGAAAAAAAGGUUUGCGACCUCGAUGUUGGAUUAAGAAAACUAUUAGGUGCAGCAGCUAAUAAAAGUUGGUCUGUUCGACCAUUAAAUUCUUACA